RNAcentral lists this non-coding RNA (250 nucleotides) under Colwellia sp. Its description in RNAcentral is "Lysine sequence". It matches the Rfam family "Lysine riboswitch aptamer". Rfam says of the family: Riboswitches are metabolite binding domains within certain messenger RNAs that serve as precision sensors for their corresponding targets. Allosteric rearrangement of mRNA structure is mediated by ligand binding, and this results in modulation of gene expression. RNAcentral also lists the same sequence under 1 other name. Lineage: Bacteria; Pseudomonadati; Pseudomonadota; Gammaproteobacteria; Alteromonadales; Colwelliaceae. The record is from RNAcentral.
AGGGCCAGAAGAGGAGCGUUAACCAGGUAAUUACCGUUGUUUUGUUUGUAUGGUUUUUUAAUACAGUCAAAAACAGAGAUCAAACUUUGUAGAGGGUAAUGAGGGGGAUUAACGCCGAGAUAGAUGGCUAUUUGAUUGGCUGUUUAUCGGUUGUUUAUUUUAUACCUUAUAAAGUAGUGGGCUGAAUCCCAACAACUGUCACUUUGAACCAUAACCAUGUUGGUUGUUUAAGUGGGGAGCUUCUGGCCUU